UGUGAGCAAGCAGAAGAAUCGUUAUUUAAUUUAAUAUAAUCGAAUCAAGCCAAUUUCUCGUUUGGAAAUACAUUUGAACUGAUUUUAUAUAAAAGAAAAAUGUCGGAAAACAAUUUUCUACAAAUUCGAUCGUGACGUAAGGACUGGUUCGUAACCGAAAAAUUGCAGACUUUAAAUAGACUUAAGGGAAAAAAGUAGAUAAGACAGACAGCAGGGAAGGAAAAUUGGGAAAAGCCCGGAAACUGCUCAUAUUGGUGCGAGCAUGGACGUUACACGUGCAUUUCUGAGGUAGCUGCAAGGGCCAAGGGAGAAACCUUGAAAAUAGUGAAACAGCAGAAUGAAGACUGAAAAUUCCUAGAGAAGUUCGCAGAGAGAAAGUUAAAGAAAAUCACAGAUCGAGAAAAUCCGAAAAAGGACUAGAGAAAGUAACCAGACUCGCGCGAUAUCGCGAGAAACGUAGAGAAAAAUAGAAAAGAAAGUUUACCGAAAGAUAUAGAAAUAUAAGGAAGAAAAACUUGGCAAUGGUACCAGAACUGUUACAAUUUUAACUUAAUGAUCAAAAAAUUACGCAGCCUAUAAAGAAAAAUAAAAGAAUAAUUCAGUGGAAAAUUCAUUGGAAAAGAAUGCAACUAUAAUGUUGUUCUCGAAUCAAAAUUAUGUUCCUAACUCUUUUUAAAUAUGUUUCUUUCGCAUUAUCAUCGCGCGUGUGCUCUUAUGAUAAACUAUCUAACACAAACAAUCAAACUAUCGAUUCCGUUUAACGAACAAGAAGUGUAAUUUUCUUUGUAAUAACAUUUCUAUAUAAUACGAUUUUAUUUUCACAAAAUUGUAUGUCAUUUCCACGUUUCAGCUCGGUUCGUAAUUUCUGCAAUGUUCAUGCUACUUGGAAAGGAACAAAGGCUGUUUGCCGAUAACACCGGGAAUCUCGAGAAAUAUCAAGAGGGCGAUGCUUCGAGAAUCGAGAACAGAGGCAUCGGAGAAUUUGAAACGUCGCAGGAAGUCGCAGGCGUUGUCAUCGAAGCUGCUGUGAUCACUAAAACGUAUAUAUAGUCGAUUUGCAAUGUGUGAGAUAGGCGAGAGAUUAUUUUUUUCCACAUUCUAUCGUUUAUCGGACUUGGUCCGUAUCCGUAAAUAAUGGUACUGUGUAUCACCGGAAGCUCGUCUGCUGUUCUUUCUACGAGUAGCAGCUGGAUCGUAAAGCUGUUUACAGGAACGGCGAAUCGAGUGUAACCUUAUGUUACAUUUCAGCGGUCGGUUGGCAGAAGCACGUUUGCGACAAUUCGAAGAACAGGCUAAAUGUAUUGGUAUACGUGGGCGUACAGUGUAAUAUAUAAAUCAUAAAUCACGGUGAAGCAGAAAAUAUAUCAUGAUAAGCGGACAGGGCACGUUAUGGGAUGUACAUAUGUCAUAAGAAGAAGGAAGCUCUCACAUCGCUAAAGUGAUGUGAUUCAAAUCGUUUUGACAGAAUGCAUGGUGACCGAUUGUUUGAUGUGAGUUAUCGUUGUCAGAAAUCAUCGAUUCGAGUGAUCGUUUCGCCACAAUUUAUGAUCUCGCCGGGCCGUUCUAGUAGCAUUUGCUAUGAUCUAUGUCAAUAUACAAGAGGAUCUGUAUCGAGUGUCAACUUCCUCUUUAACUAUAUAUAUAUAUAUAUAUCAGAACCGUCAAUAACGCGUGUGUAUUUUAUCACUGUAUUAAUUGCUCGUACAGUGAGUUGAAAUUAAUCCACUCUUUAAAAAUUGAUUUCCAAUGCACUAUAACUUGCUACCGUUAUUAUCACGAAGAUAUUUCGGAAUAAAUAGAAUAGAAACAGCAGUAACACAAUUAUACAGUAGAACUCCACUUACUGCAACGAAAUUUUAAUCGAUGUCCGAUUAACCGAACCCUUGCUGAUUGAAUUCGCUUAUCUGAACGUAAACUCCUCUUAUAUGAAUGCCAACUAGAUAAACUGUUUGUUUCUCGACAAGUUCAGAUAAAUGGAAUUCUACCGUAACGACAAGCGCAGCUGGUUACCGAACGCAUUCGACUGUUCCGCAUAUAAGAAGAGAACGAGGUCGUUCAGGAAGAGAUACGGAAGGAUGAUUGACGAAGACCUACCGCAACCUUCACUUGGAUCUGUUCAGCUAAAUUCGCCUAUAUGCCGACACUUGUCAGGUUCAGUGGAUAUUUCGAGGCGUUGUUACUGAUGAUACCAGAAUGGCGCUUGCAAACCGCAAUGACAACCACGCACCAGGUUGGCUGAAAUGACACCGCAGUGUCAGUGCUAUGAAUGCUGCUGCUGUUGUGGUUAACGAGAGCAUUUAAGAUCUGACGGUCCUUUAGACACCAGUCGUUGAGGCUUAUGUUACCAUUUCUAGCCAUGAAAAGUCCAUUUCUUCUUUCUUCCAGAACCUAAGCUUUCUUUUCAUAUCUUGCGCUGUGAAAUCCAUUUCUAUUUUUUAUUACCUCGCGUACUUUUCAUUUUCAGAUUAUUAUACUCCAAUUUUUAAUAAACUUCACAACGACAGGUUAAGAAAUCUUCUGCAAAUUGACUUCCUACUUUUCCACCGAAUUCAAGUAAUCGUGGUUCUAUUAACGAAAAUAUAUUUCACAUCCAAAGUAGAUUAUUACGGCAUUUGUUCGAAAUUUCCACGAAAUUCUGUUCACUUUACAUCUACGAUCAUUUCUUUCUUAGCAUAAUCUCGAUUUAUAAAUUUCUUCUAAUUGAAAUAACAACAUAGUGCAAAAUACUCGUUUCUUUCUAUAGUAUCAAAAAAUGAGAGAGGAGGUUUUUAGAGAACAAGCAAAUGAUACCGAAUCCUUUCUUUCAUAAUAAUUGCAAUCUUCAAGCAACUGAAAUGUUAUUUUAUUCUCAACCACGAAGUAA
Long non-coding RNA from Bombus impatiens (common eastern bumble bee), 2863 nucleotides. RefSeq lists it as uncharacterized. The record is from RefSeq and is a predicted model, not a curated record. The transcript has 5 exons. NCBI's taxonomy places the organism in Eukaryota, Metazoa, Arthropoda, Insecta, Hymenoptera, Apidae.